AGGAAUAUUGGUCAAUGGGCGCAAGCCUGAACCAGCCAAGUAGCGUGAGGGAAGACUGCCCUAUGGGUUGUAAACCUCUUUUGUGCGGGGAUAAAGUGUGGGACGUGUCCCAUAUUGCAGGUACCGCACGAAUAAGGACCGGCUAAUUCCGUGCCAGCAGCCGCGGUAAUACGGAAGGUCCGGGCGUUAUCCGGAUUUAUUGGGUUUAAAGGGAGCGCAGGCCGUCCUUUAAGCGUGCUGUGAAAUGCCGCGGCUCAACCGUGGCACUGCAGCGCGAACUGGAGGACUUGAGUACGCACGAGGUAGGCGGAAUUCGUGGUGUAGCGGUGAAAUGCUUAGAUAUCACGAAGAACUCCGAUUGCGAAGGCAGCUUACCGGAGCGCAACUGACGCUGAGGCUCGAAAGCGCGGGUAUCGAACAGGAUUAGAUACCCUGGUAGUCCGCGCGGUAAACGAUGGAUGCCCGCCGUUGGGUUUUAGAAUUCAGCGGCCAAGCGAAAGCGUUAAGCAUCCCACCUGGGGAGUACGCCGGCAACGGUGAAACUCAAAGGAAUUGACGGGGGCCCGCACAAGCGGAGGAACAUGUGGUUUAAUUCGAUGAUACGCGAGGAACCUUACCCGGGCUUGAAUUGCAGGAGAACGAUCCAGAGAUGGUGAGGCCCUUCGGGGCUCCUGUGAAGGUGCUGCAUGGUUGUCGUCAGCUCGUGCCGUGAGGUGUCGGCUCAAGUGCCAUAACGAGCGCAACCCCUGUCCAUAGUUGCCAUCAGGUCGUGCUGGGCACUCUGUGGAGACUGCCGCCGUAAGGUGUGAGGAAGGUGGGGAUGACGUCAAAUCAGCACGGCCCUUACGUCCGGGGCUACACACGUGUUACAAUGGGGCAUACAGCGAGUUGGAUGUGCGCAAGUACGUCCGGAUCAAUAAAGUGCCUCUCAGUUCGGACUGGGGUCUGCAACCCGACCCCACGAAGCUGGAUUCGCUAGUAAUCGCGCAUCAGCCACGGCGCGGUGAAUACGUUCCCG
RNAcentral lists this ribosomal RNA (1018 nucleotides) under uncultured bacterium. RNAcentral describes it as "bacterial SSU rRNA". It matches the Rfam family "Bacterial small subunit ribosomal RNA", at positions 357 to 1376 of the family's 1533-position model. The record is from RNAcentral.